AGCGUAGGCGGACAUUUAAGUCAGGGGUGAAAUCCCGGGGCUCAACCUCGGAAUUGCCCUUGAUACUGGGUGUCUUGAGUAUGAGAGAGGUGUGUGGAACUCCGAGUGUAGAGGUGAGAUUCGUAGAUAUUCGGAAGAACACCAGUGGCGAAGGCGACACACUGGCUCAUUACUGACGCUGAGGCACGAAAGCGUGGGGAGCAAACA
Molecule: ribosomal RNA, 207 nt
Filed under: uncultured bacterium
Lineage: Bacteria
Description: partial 16S ribosomal RNA
Rfam family: Bacterial small subunit ribosomal RNA
Source: RNAcentral